RNAcentral lists this long non-coding RNA (4743 nucleotides) under Sus scrofa (pig). RNAcentral's name for it is "lncRNA (ENSSSCG00030017861.1)". The record is from RNAcentral. Lineage: Eukaryota; Metazoa; Chordata; Mammalia; Artiodactyla; Suidae.
CCGUGUUAGUUACAUGAGACUGUUUUCACUUCAUGAAAUCUAUUAGGCUACACAUUUGUGAUCUAUGCACUUUUCUGUAUUAUGUAAUACUAAAAUAAAAUAGUUUAUUAAACAAAAAAUUCUACUUCUCUCAAUUUUAUUACUUAAGUAUCAAUUGAACCACACUUUUUCCUCUCUGUCAUUGCCACAGUUAAUCUCUCACCUUCAAAAUGGUGGAAGCUUGCCAACUGGUCUUGCUCCACCCAAAGGUAUCCCAUGCAACCAUCUGUAAAAAUCCUCUGAAUGGCACAUAUAACCACCCCAGUGGCCUAUUGAAAACCAUUAGUGUCAGCCUAGCUAUAUAAUAUAGCUUCUUACUGACAAGUCUUUCAUUUUUUUCUAUUUGCCUCCAUGUCCAGUGUUCACUUUCCUAUUUGUAUUCUUAGUGUAUAUUAAAAUUUGACAUGUUAUUUUAUGAAGUUCAACAGGUAAUAAUAACUAAGCUGGCAUCUGAAACCAGGUUUUCAUGGCUCUGCAACCUAUGUUCUUCUUGUAACAUGACAGUAUGCACUGUUGUACAGAAUCAGUGUUAUUUUAGUUUAAUAAUAUCUACUUUCAAAUAGUUGAUUUUUUUAAAAAGAAAGAAGAAAAAGAAGAUAAAGAAUCAAAGCUAUUACAAUUUAUUUUUAUGGUUUUCUCCAGCUGUGCUCCCAUCUCAGAGUACACUUAAAAUAGCAGAAACUUUGACAUUGUCAUUUAUUCUGAGAGAAAUGACAAACCACUGAAAAAACUUAUUAGAGCAGGAGAAUAACAUAAUCAUAUUCCAGUUCUCAAAAAUUAGAAUGAAAAUAGUGGUGAGGCAGAUUAGAAGGACUAAGAAUGAAAGUAAAGAGAACAAGUGGAAUUUAUUUGGUUAACAUGAAUAAAAUCUACUGACAGCUUGAAGACAAAUUCAAUUAUAAAUAAAUGAUAAAACAUUUAAAAGAUCAUUAAAUUUCCAUUCUUAGAGGUGAUGAGACAACUAAGAAAUAUAAUGCUAUUAAAUAAUCACUUCUAAAAAAAGUGGUUUGGACUAGACAAUCUUUUGAGCUACAUCAUUCAAGUAUAAGAUGAAAAGAUAAUUCUCUGGAAUCUAAUAAUCAGGAAUUUAUUAAGCCUGCAAAUACUGUCUAAGAAUAUUAUUCCUCUAUGUUUUGCAAUUGCUUAGUAACUUAAAAUAUUCAUGGAUUAAGGAGUGAUAGCAUAGGUAUUUUAUGAAUAGGAAAAAAUAAAUGGCUAAAAAAUCAGAAAAUAGGAAAAAACAAUACUCCAAAUAUGCAAAUAUGAUACAGUGGACAUAGUUGAUACAAUGCACAGUGUAAGAAUGAUUUCUUAUUAACAAUAAUAAUCCAGGUUUAAAAUACCACCUUAUUAAAAAUUGGGACCAAGAGUAAGAAGGAAACAACAUUCUCUCCUACUAUAUGACAAUGUAGAUUACAUACCAUUAUAGAUAGAUUGUGUUCUUUCUCAAGGUAAUAUGGAAAUUUCAAGUAUGUUUUGUUUUUAAAGGUAACCAUACUCAGUAUAAUUAAUAUAUGUAAGAUUCAAGUCAUUGAAGAAAAAAGCAUAAAGAACUUGUUUGAUAUAGUACAAUCUAGGAAGGAGGAGCAAUAAAGCCUAAAGUAGAAAAUAUAAAAUAAGAGGGUAAAGUACAACAAAAAUAUCAGUGGACACAGUGAUUGUAAAGUAAUUAAAUUCCUCUUCUUUUGGUAAGAGAAUCUCAACCAAUAAUAUGAACUUAAUAACAGACAAAAUAAAAUGAAACGAGGCAGAAAAUUUUAACAUAAAAAGAUGAACAGUCAUACACUGGGCAAUUACAAAUAAAAAGAAAACAUCCUUGGUAAUAUCAGUAUUGUACACAUCAAAGAAAAACCAUCAAAUGGGAAAACAAGCAUGCCUUAUAUGAAUAACACAUGAAUGAACAUCUAUAUGUAGAAAUGGAAAUUAUAAGCAUUAAUGUUUAACAUAAUUUUCAGUAAAAUAUUUAAAGCAAAACCAGGAAAACAUGGUAGAGUUGGUAAAAUUAUAGUCACAGUGAAGGACUGAAUAUAACCGAGUUUUUAGCAAAGAAAAUAGAAAAUAAUUAAUAGAGAUACAUGGCUUGAAUAAGGUAAUAAAAUGAAAACUAACAUCUAUAGUGUUUGCUGUAUCAGGCAGAACUACACUUACAUCUAUUAUUAUAUUUAUUGACUUCUCAUAGCAAACCUCUAGAAAGAUACUAUUAUAAUUUCAUUUACAGAUAAGAUAAUUAAUAGCAGAUUCAGCAACUAGACCAAUGUUACAUAAUUUGAGAUUGGUUGAGUCAAAUACUGAGUACAGGCAAUCUGUCUCCAGAGAUUUGGCUCUUAACUACUUUGUUGCAGUCUCUUGAUUAAUAAAUCAAAGUAAAGAGGCAUAAAUAGGUUUUGUGCCUAGAUACAGAUUGUACACAUUAUUUUAAAUGUCUAUAAUACAUUUAUAUACCUAAUCAAUGUCAAAAAAUAGAAAAUAUGCAAAUAAUUAUUUUGCCUCAGUGUAAUAAACAUAAAAUACAACAAAACUAAGAAUAUAAAUAGAAUAAAAAUAAGUCUUGAUAAAUAAGUUUGGGGCAAAAAUGAAAUUAAAACUGGUAUUACAAACAUUUUAUAAUAGGAAACCAAUAAAGAUCAAAUGUGUACAUAGGGAAAAAUGAAUUAACUUACAUAUAUUAUUACACAGGAAAGAAUGUGAAAGGAAAGGAAAGAAGUAAGGAAGGGGAGAAAGAGAAAAAGAGAGAGGAAGAAAGAAAGAAGAAAGAAAAGGAAGAAAGGAGGGAGGGAGGAAGGAAGAUAGGCAAAUGAUAUUCAUAUAUCAGUGUCAGAAAAGAAAAAUAUUGGGUGAAGGUGAAUAAAUAUUUAAUAUUUUGGAAAAUAUAAACAGUAUAAUAUCAAGAAAAUAAGAAUAAUGUAAGGCUAAAUAAUUGCAUGAUUCUGAUUGUGUUUCUAUUAGUAAAUACUACAUAGAGUUUUUUUUAAGUAGGACAGAAACAGAGUAAAUUAACUGUGACAAUACUGUUGUGGAAUACCAGUAAUCCACACUUUUAUGCUCUAAAAUACAUUUUACAUGUUCUACUAUUAAUAUUUUGUCUCAUACCAUUUUUACAAAGAAUAAUUACUACUUACAUAGCACAGGGCCAGCACUGAGAGAUGUGAUGAUGAGUGAGAAGAACAAAUGUUAGAAUCCAAAGAAAAAUUCAAAAAUAAAAGCAUGAACUUAAAAAAAGUGUAUAGAUACCAAAGAUCACUUUGAAAAACAUUGUUAAACAAGAGGCAGAUAUUCACUUAUGAUUCUGUUUAUCCAACAGCAGACUAAAACAAUUUAUAAUGUUAAGAAUCAGAAUGCAGUUUCCUGAGAGUAUGGAGGGUGGUAGCAAAGAAAAUCAAUAAGAAAGGGACACAGGAAAACUUUCUGGGUUGAUGAAAAUGUUUUAUACCUUGUUUGGAAGGGAAUUACAAGGCAAUGUACAAUUUUUUGGCAGAACAUUUAAGUCUGUUUUCCCAGUCCUUGAAUCUGGGCUGACCUUGUUAUUUUCUUUGGUCGAUAAAAUGAGACAAAAAUGACACUGUGCCAUUUAUGAACCUAGACUUCAAGAGGCGUUAUCCUAUUCAACAAAUUGGAUUCAGGACACACCAUCUCACUUACUCUGAGUAUGAACAACUUUUCACAUCAGGGGUGAUAAGAUAAAACUAUGCCAAAGGAAUUAUCAAGUUCUCUUCAUCUCAAAAAACAACACAAUGUUCUUUUGGGCUUCAAAUUUGAAUGGAAUGAACUUUGGAGUAAACCAUUUAACUAUAUUAUUCUCGGCUGCCAUUUUAAUCAUAGAUGAGAAAGAUUAGGUCUAUUUGCUCUAUGAUAUAGUCCCGCAUGAAGAGAGCCUCAUUCAUCAAAGUUAUAGAUUUCAGAUAUGAAAAUAUCAAGGGGAGAUUUGUGGACCCUUUGGGAGAGCCAUUAGCACAUAGUAUCUAGUGGAUCUGUGAACAGGUGAUAGAUGUGGAGUGUCUACCCCUGGCAUUCCAGACAUGUUCUUGCUUGGGCCCUGGUAGAUGGCAUCUACGUCUCCAAAAAGACGUGGUGAAAACACUAUCCAUCUGGGAUCAAACAUACUUGGUUUUAAUUCUGGCUCUGACACAAGAUAUGUGACUUUGCUUGAGUGUAUUAACCUCUUGGAACUUCAGUUUCCUCAUUUGUACAAUAAAAACUGCCGUCUCUAUUUCCAACAUUGAUAUAUUCAUUUGAACUUGGGACAUUUUUAACUUUCAUAUUCCCUAAUCUCUUAGUAAUUAUAAAAUCAUUUGGAUGAAGUUUCACCUUAAACCAAACCACUGAACCUCAAUCAUGCUCUUUGUGGCCAGGAUAUUUGUUGUCACUGAAUAGUAAAGAUGCCAACUGGUGAAAACACUACAUAUGUUUGGUUAUAAAACAGAAAUCAUCUUACAGUUUCCAGAGCAGACAAGAUAUCAUAGAAAGAGAUGGUUUUAAAAAAAUGAAGGGAAGACAUUUCCAUUAGAAAUCAUCUGUAUUGAGGAGUUCCCAUUGUGGCUCAGUGGAAACAAAUCUGACUAGCAUCCAUGAGGAUGCCAGUUUGAUCCCUGACCUUGAUCAGUGGGUUAAAGAUCAGGCAUUGCUGUGGUGUAGGCCAGCAGAUGUAUCUCCGAUUCGACCCCUGGACUGGGAACCUCCAUAUGCCGUGGGUUCAGCCCUAAAACG